GGUGGCUCAGUGGUAGAGAGCUUGCCUUGCAUGCAUGAAGCCCUAGGUUCGAUUCCUCAGCACCA
Molecule: transfer RNA, 65 nt
Filed under: Dipodomys ordii (Ord's kangaroo rat)
Lineage: Eukaryota; Metazoa; Chordata; Mammalia; Rodentia; Heteromyidae
Rfam family: tRNA
About the family: Transfer RNA (tRNA) molecules are approximately 80 nucleotides in length.
Source: Rfam by way of RNAcentral